RNAcentral lists this unclassified non-coding RNA (378 nucleotides) under uncultured bacterium. Its description in RNAcentral is "contains 16S-23S intergenic spacer region". The record is from RNAcentral.
UCCGAGUUGACCCCGGCAGUCUCCCAUGAGUCCCCGGCAUAACCCGCUGGCAACACAGGACAAGGGUUGCGCUCGUUGCGGGACUUAACCCAACAUCUCACGACACGAGCUGACGACAGCCAUGCAGCACCUGUGCAUGGAUCCCGAAGGAGGCUCCUCGUUUCUGAGGAGUUUCCCAUGCAUGUCAAGCCUAGGUAAGGUUCUUCGCGUUGCGUCGAAUUAAACCACAUGCUCCACCGCUUGUGCGGGCCCCCGUCAAUUCCUUUGAGUUUCACCCUUGCGAGCGUACUCCCCAGGUGGAAUACUUAUCAGGUUACCUUCGGCACUGAUCCAGAAAAGGACCAACACCAAGUAUUCAUCGUUUACAGCGUGGACUAC